GAUGAACGCUGACAGAAUGCUUAACACAUGCAAGUCUACUUGAACUUCGGUUUGGGUGGCGGCCGGGUGAGUAACGCGUACAGAACUUGCCUCGCAGAUAGGGACAACAUUUGGAAACGAAUGCUAAUACCUGAUAUUAUACUUUUAUGGCAUCCUAGAAUUAUGAAAGCUAUCUGCACUGUGAGAGAGCUUUGCGUCCCAUUAGCUAGUUGGAGAGGUAACGGCUCACCAAGGCGAUGAUGGGUAGCCGGCCUGAGAGGGUGAUCGGCCACAAAGGGACAGAGAAACGGCCCGUACGCAAACGGGAGGAAGGGGUGGGGAAUAUUGGACAAUGGACCAAGAGUGUGAUCAAGGAAUUCUGUGUGCACGAUGAAGUUUUUCGGAAUGAAAAGUGCUUUCAGUUGGGAAGAAAAAAAUGACGGUACCAACAGAAGAAGCGACGGCUAAAUACGUG
Molecule: ribosomal RNA, 454 nt
Filed under: uncultured bacterium
Lineage: Bacteria
Description: partial 16S ribosomal RNA
Rfam family: Bacterial small subunit ribosomal RNA
Source: RNAcentral